AUUAAUUGUGGCUUAAAGAACAGGCCUUUAUUAUAAUGAGCAAUGUGAAGCGGGCAGUUCCAGAGCUGGGUGACUUGGAGAUUGGAUAUAUCCAUAAUGAGCAUCAUAUGAAACCAAACCAUCAACGCAGGUGGUUCAAAAGUGAGAGUGAGAGAGGGGAUGUCAGCAACAUGGCGGAAUACGAAGCUCCUGACUUUCCACCCACGGACAGAUGAAAUACAUGCCUAUUUACAGACUAUUCCCUCUGAAAGUGAGAAACUAGUUGAGAGACACCUGAUCACCAGGCAACUGAGAAAACAUCUGUCUUAAACAGUACGUGUGCACUCAAGCUUUACAGGAACUUUUGUGAGCUUCAGUUUGGUCAGAGAGGGAAGAGAAAAUACUCCAAACAAGGCCUUGCAGUGGAAGAAGGAAGAGGGAUGAUGUGGAGUCUCCCUGAAACCAGUGGACAGAUUUCCUCAGAAAACUCUUCCUGCCUAGGUUAUCAGUGAGUGUAUCCACCUCUGCAAAACACAGUGCAAUUACCAUUUAACCUGUCAUUGUAGGUACGGUGUCUGUAUUAGGAGGUGAGAUUAUCCCUGGGGGGAAGAAAUCCUGAAAGCUAUUAAUAAUGAUUCUGUAGUUAUUUGAAGAUAAUGAAAGACAUUACUCUGAGGAAUUAUCUGUGAUAGAUGGACAAAGUUAAGAUCUCAGUAAAGUUUGAGCCUGAAUACUGAAGUAUGAAAAGUGAAAGAAUGAAGUUAAGAACGUGGUUGUGUUGGGAUCUUGACCACACUUUGUCCACAGAAUGUGACUCUUUUUUCCUGAAAAUGCUGAGCAAUUGUGAAGUUGUGCUGUCUUGAUAAUUCACUGUUAAAAUAUACA
Long non-coding RNA from Rhinopithecus roxellana (golden snub-nosed monkey), 864 nucleotides. RefSeq lists it as uncharacterized. The transcript has 3 exons. Lineage: Eukaryota; Metazoa; Chordata; Mammalia; Primates; Cercopithecidae. The record is from RefSeq and is a predicted model, not a curated record.